CGAACAACCGCCGUCCUGGGAUAUUCUAUCCGGCCCAGUUGGAAAACUACAAAUCAGGAUUGAAAUAUGAGGUUCUCGAUUUUCCUCUGCCUUAGUAUAUUUCUGUCAAUCGUAUAUGUGGGAGCCUUAGCUCAAAUAACAUUUUCAACUGGUUGGGGGAAAAGAGCAGUAAACCCUGCAAGCUGCAGAUUCGAUCUAAACCCACUCCUCUUCAUCUCUAGACGCUUGCAGACCGAACUGCAGAAAAUGAUGGAAUGCGCCCAAUAAACACCAAUGGACCAGUAAUUAUCUGAAAAAUCAGAUCUUUUAGAAUAUUAGCACAAAAUGUUUUGUGAAUGUUUUGAUGGAAAAUAAAUGAUAUGAUGUAGUAA
Cimex lectularius (bed bug) is the source of this 371-nucleotide long non-coding RNA. RefSeq lists it as uncharacterized. The transcript has 3 exons. The record is from RefSeq and is a predicted model, not a curated record. NCBI's taxonomy places the organism in Eukaryota, Metazoa, Arthropoda, Insecta, Hemiptera, Cimicidae.